UACGUAGGGUGCAAGCGUUAAUCGGAAUUACUGGGCGUAAAGCGUGCGCAGGCGGUCUUGCAAGACAGGUGUAAAUCCCCGGGCUUAACCUGGGAACUGCACUUGUGACUGCAAGGCUGGAGUACGGCAGAGGGGGAUGGAAUUCCGCGUGUAGCAGUGAAAUGCGUAGAUAUGCGGAGGAACACCGAUGGCGAAGGCAAUCCCCUGGGCCUGUACUGACGCUCAUGCACGAAAGCGUGGGGAGCAAACAGG
Molecule: ribosomal RNA, 252 nt
Filed under: uncultured bacterium
Lineage: Bacteria
Description: partial 16S ribosomal RNA
Rfam family: Bacterial small subunit ribosomal RNA
Source: RNAcentral